Molecule: ribosomal RNA, 495 nt
Filed under: uncultured bacterium
Lineage: Bacteria
Description: SSU rRNA
Rfam family: Bacterial small subunit ribosomal RNA
Source: RNAcentral
AGAUUGAACGCUGGCGGCGUGCCUAACACAUGCAAGUCGAGCGGUAACAGGUGUAGCAAUACAUGCUGACGAGCGGCGAACGGGUGAGUAAUGCUUUGGAAUCUUCCCAGUAGUGGGGAAUAACCAGUCGAAAGAUUGGCUAAUACCGCAUACGUCUGUAAAGGGAAAGCGGGGGCUCGUAAGACCUCGCGCUAUUGGAUGAGCCAAAGUCGGAUUAGCUAGUUGGUGGGGUAACGGCCUACCAAGGCGACAAUCCGUAGCUGGUCUGAGAGGACGACCAGCCACACCGGAACUGAGACACGGUCCGGACUCCUACGGGAGGCAGCAGUGGGGAAUAUUGGACAAUGGGGGAAACCCUGAUCCAGCGACGCCGCGUGUGUGAAGAGGCCUGCGGGUUGUAAGCACUUUUAGUGGGGACAAAAGCUACGGAUUAAUACUCUGUGGUCUUGAUUUAACCCAAAGAAAAGCACCGGCUAACUCUGCGCCAGCAGCCGC